UACGGAGGGGGCUAGCGUUGUUCGGAAUUACUGGGCGUAAAGCGCACGUAGGCGGAUUGGAAAGUUGGGGGUGAAAUCCCGGGGCUCAACCCCGGAACUGCCUUCAAAACUCCCAGUCUGGAGGUCGAGAGAGGUGAGUGGAAUUCCGAGUGUAGAGGUGAAAUUCGUAGACAUUCGGAGGAACACCAGUGGCGAAGGCGGCUCACUGGCUCGAUACUGACGCUGAGGUGCGAAAGCGUGGGGAGCAAACAGG
RNAcentral lists this ribosomal RNA (253 nucleotides) under uncultured bacterium. RNAcentral's name for it is "partial 16S ribosomal RNA". It matches the Rfam family "Bacterial small subunit ribosomal RNA", at positions 524 to 776 of the family's 1533-position model. The record is from RNAcentral.